RNAcentral lists this transfer RNA (74 nucleotides) under Bifidobacteriaceae bacterium. RNAcentral's name for it is "tRNA-Leu". It matches the Rfam family "tRNA". From Rfam's summary of the family: Transfer RNA (tRNA) molecules are approximately 80 nucleotides in length. Lineage: Bacteria; Bacillati; Actinomycetota; Actinomycetes; Bifidobacteriales; Bifidobacteriaceae. The record is from RNAcentral.
GCCCCCAUAGCCCAAUUGGCAGAGGCAGCCGGCUUAAAACCGGCGCGUUGCGAGUUCGAGUCUCGCUGGGGGCA